Molecule: transfer RNA, 74 nt
Filed under: candidate division WWE3 bacterium CG08_land_8_20_14_0_20_40_13
Lineage: Bacteria; candidate division WWE3
Description: tRNA-Trp
Rfam family: tRNA
About the family: Transfer RNA (tRNA) molecules are approximately 80 nucleotides in length.
Source: RNAcentral
ACGGGCGUAUUUCAGUGGUAGAAUCGCGGUCUCCAAAACCGCUAACGGAGGUUCAAUUCCUCCCGCCCGUGCCA